GCCCAGACUCCUACGGGAGGCAGCAGUGGGGAAUAUUGCACAAUGGGGGAAACCCUGAUGCAGCGACGCCGCGUGAGUGAGGAAGCAUUUCGGUGUGUAAAGCUCUAUCAGCAGGGAAGAAAAUGACGGUACCUGACUAAGAAGCCCCGGCUAACUACGUGCCAGCAGCCGCGGUAAUACGUAGGGGGCAAGCGUUAUCCGGAUUUACUGGGUGUAAAGGGAGCGUAGACGGCUAAUCAAGUCAGAAGUGAAAACCCCGGGCUCAACCUUGGGAGUGCUUUUGAAACUGAGUAGCUAGAGUGCAGGAGAGGUAAGCGGAAUUCCUAGUGUAGCGGUGAAAUGCGUAGAUAUUAGGAGGAACACCAGUGGCGAAGGCGGCUUACUGGACUGUAACUGACGUUGAGGCUCGAAAGCGUGGGGAGCAAACAGGAUUAGAUACCCCUGUAGG
This 448-nucleotide ribosomal RNA is filed under the name uncultured bacterium. RNAcentral describes it as "bacterial SSU rRNA". It matches the Rfam family "Bacterial small subunit ribosomal RNA", at positions 329 to 794 of the family's 1533-position model. The record is from RNAcentral.